RNAcentral lists this transfer RNA (72 nucleotides) under Bos grunniens (domestic yak). It matches the Rfam family "tRNA". Rfam says of the family: Transfer RNA (tRNA) molecules are approximately 80 nucleotides in length. Lineage: Eukaryota; Metazoa; Chordata; Mammalia; Artiodactyla; Bovidae. The record is from Rfam by way of RNAcentral. RNAcentral also lists the same sequence under 2 other names.
CCCCUGGUGGCUCAGAGGGUAAAGCAUCUGCCUGCAAUGUGGGAGACCUGGGUUCAAUUCCUAGGUUGGGAA